AGAGCUGAUUGUUUGCUGAGCGGCUGCGAUUUGGGGCAUUGAAGAGAGGGACUGGUGUGAGCAGUGACCGGGAUGGAUGGUCGGGCAGAUGCCAACACUGGGGUGAGCAGCGACAGCGACAGGAGAGCAGGAGCCCAUGCUGCUGAGGGAACACGGCAGCGACGAGCCGGGUCGGUGCCACUCGGGGCUGGUGGCAGGAGCAGCUGAGCCCCGGGGACAAGGAGAGUGUGGGCACCCCAAGUGGACUAGAGGAGGGGAGUCCCCGGUUGGUGCGUGAGCAGGACCCGGAGCAGCCUGAGCUGAGCUGAGCCGAGCUGAACUGAGCUGAGCCGAGCCGAGCUGAGCUGAACUGA
Neopelma chrysocephalum (saffron-crested tyrant-manakin) is the source of this 353-nucleotide long non-coding RNA. RefSeq lists it as uncharacterized. NCBI's taxonomy places the organism in Eukaryota, Metazoa, Chordata, Aves, Passeriformes, Pipridae. The record is from RefSeq and is a predicted model, not a curated record. The transcript is spliced from 4 exons.